CAGUCGCCGCGGGAAUACGUAGGUGGCAAGCGUUGUCCGGAAUUGUUGGGCGUAGAGCGCGCGCAGGCGGCCUAUCCAGUCUGUCUUAAAAGUUCGGGGCUCAACCCCGUGAUGGGAUGGAAGCUAGUAGGCUAGAGUAUCGGAGAGGAAAGCGGAAUUCCUAGUGUAGCGGUGAAAUGCGUAGAUAUUAGGAAGAACACCAGUGGCGAAGGCGGCUUUCUGGACGAAAACUGACGCUGAGGCGCGAAAGCCAGGGGAGCGAACGGGAUUAGAUACCCGAGUAGUCCCUGUCUCUUAUACA
Molecule: ribosomal RNA, 301 nt
Filed under: uncultured bacterium
Lineage: Bacteria
Description: partial 16S ribosomal RNA
Rfam family: Bacterial small subunit ribosomal RNA
Source: RNAcentral